ACUGAAUAGAUACCCUGGUAGUCCUGGCCCUAAACGAUGAAUGCUUGGUGUGGCGGGUAUCGAUCCCUGCCGUGCCGAAAGCUAACGCAUUAAGCAUUCCGCCUGGGGAGUACGGUCACAAGGCUGAAACUCAAAGGAAUUGACGGGGGCCCGCACAAGCGGUGGAGCAUGUGGUUUAAUUCGACGCAACGCGAAGAACCUUACCCAGGCUUGAACUGCAGACGACAUCCUACGAAAGUAGGCUUCCGCAAGGACGUCUGUAGAGGUGCUGCAUGGCUGUCGUCAGCUCGUGUCGUGAGAUGUUGGGUUAAGUCCCGCAACGAGCGCAACCCUUGUCUUCUGUUGCCAUCGGGUUAUGCCGGGCACUCUGAAGAGACUGCCGGUGACAAACCGGAGGAAGGUGGGGAUGACGUCAAGUCAGCAUGGCCUUUAUGUCUGGGGCCACACACGUGCUACAAUGGCAGGUACAAACCGUCGCGAGACCGCAAGGUGGAGCUAAUCGGAUAAAGCCUGUCUCAGUUC
This 522-nucleotide ribosomal RNA is filed under the name uncultured bacterium. RNAcentral's name for it is "bacterial SSU rRNA". It matches the Rfam family "Bacterial small subunit ribosomal RNA", at positions 772 to 1294 of the family's 1533-position model. The record is from RNAcentral.